This 65-nucleotide ribosomal RNA is filed under the name Megaloprepus caerulatus. RNAcentral's name for it is "partial 16S ribosomal RNA". The record is from RNAcentral. Lineage: Eukaryota; Metazoa; Arthropoda; Insecta; Odonata; Coenagrionidae.
UUUUAUAUAUUUUUAGUACGAAAGGACCAUUAUUAUAAAUGAAAUUUUUUAUUUGAUUAUUAUUA